ACUGCUCCACUCCUCAUCCUCCUGGGCUGGACCCAGCUCCCCUCCUUGCCUAUCAGGGCCGAGCCCUGCCAUGCUCAAAGCCCUCCAGAGCUGACCCCUCUCUCCUCUUCAUCCUCCCAGCUCUGGGACCUUCUCCACUCCUUGCACUCCAAGCCUGGGCCCCGCUCCCAUUCCAGCCCUCCAUGGUCGGGCCCACUGCCAUCAACACCCUAUAGGGCCAGACCCUGCUGCACUCCUAGAUCUCCAGGGAUUGGACUCCACUCCCCACACUGCCCUGGAGGGCCAGGCCACACUCCUCUAAACACCCUCAGGGCCAGAUCUGCUCCCCUCCUCACUCUCUAGGGCCGGGCCCCACUCCCCUCCUCACCACCCAGGGCCAGGGCCUGCUCUCCUCCUUGCACUCCAGGACUGGGCUUCGCACCCCUCCUUGCCUUCCUGGGUUCAGCCCUGCUACCCUCAGGCAUGGCCAUGGCCACCUUCCCGGGCUCAGCCCCCCUCCCCUCCUUGCCCUGCAGGAUUGGGCCCUGCUCCCCUCAAGCAGUUGCUGGCCUAUUCCAGGGCGAGGCCCCACUCCAAUCCUGGCCCUCCAGGGCCAAGCCCUGUACCCUUCCUCACCCUCAGGCCUGGGCCCAUCACCUCACGCUGCCCUCCAGGGCCAGGUCCCACCCCCAUACUGCCCUCCAGGGCCAGGCCCCACUGCCCUCAACGUCCUCUAGGGCUGGGCUUGCACCCCUCCUUGCCCUCCAUGCCAGGCCCAGUUCUGCCAAAAGCCCUCCAGAACUGGACCCUGCUCCACUCCUCAUCCCCAGGGCCAGUGCCCGCUCCCUUCAGGCAGGGCCCUGGCCAUGCUCCAGGGACAGGCCCCUCUCUCCUCCUUGCCCUCCAGUGCCAGGACCAGCACCCCUUAGGCAGGGCUCUGGCCACCUCCCAGUAAUGGACCCUUCUCUCCAUGCGAUACCAAGCAGGGCCCGGCUCCCCUUGGGCGCUGAAGUAGCCACCCAUGAGUUCUGGGCCCCACUCCUCUCCUUGCCCACCCGGGCCUGCGCCCAGCACCAUUGGUGCCCUCCAAGGCUACACCCCACUCCCCUCACCAACCUCCAGGACUGGACCCCGCUCCCCUCUUUGCCUUCCAGGGCCUGGAUUCAGCUCCCCAUACUGCCCUCCAGGGCCAGUUCCCACUCCUCUCCCUGAGUGCCUCAUUCUCCCAUGCUCGGUAGCUGCCUGUCCCUGGGAGUACAGGCUGGUCCUCCAUGUGGUUUGCACUUGCAAGUCCCUCCUGUUGUUCAAACCCGUCCUGUGUACGUGCACAGCACUAACUGAUUUGCAUUUAUGAUCUCAUUUCAUCCCACCAGGAGCCCUGUCAUCACUGGAUCGUCUUUCUCUGUGCAACCUGGCUCCUACUACCUCUCUGCCUUGGUAGAGAUAUAGACAAUGAGAGAGAGAGAGAGAGGUCUUCCUUCCAUUGGUUCACUCCCCAAAUGGCCGCUAUUGCUGGUGCUGAACCAAUCUGAAGCCAGGAGCCAGGUGCUUCUUCCUGGUCUCCCAUGUGGGUGCAGCAGCCCAAACACUUGCACUGCCUUCCUGGGCCACAGCAGAGAGCUGGACUGGAAGCCGAGCAACCGGGACUAGAACCCGGCGCCCAUAUGGGAUGCCGGCACCACAGGCGGAGGAUUAACCAAGUAGCCACAGUGCCAGCCAGUACCUUGUGCCUUGUAAUGACCCAUUCUUCAGCUAGACGGUAAGGUUUAGAAGGUGUCAUUUUUCUUUCUUUUAUACUCAGCUCUUCGUGUAGUCCCUCGUGUGUGGGAAUGAGAGUCAGGCUCAAGCAGAAGCUCAUGUCAUAUUAGUUAAUGUAUAAUCAAGGCUACACCCAGGCCCCCAAGUUCUCACUCAUGGGUCCUGUCUAGGCCCCACCCACUGAUGCGGCCAGAAGCCACCUGGAAAGCAACACCUCGAAGAACACGACUGCCUGCUGGGAGCAGCUGUUCCGCCCAGGUCCAGGGGAGAAUCUUGUGGUUGUACUGGAAGCAUCAGGGCAACCAUUUUACAGGCUCCUAGGAAGCAGGAAGAGGAGGGCCUUAGAGAUGCCCCUUUCCACCCACUCCCAGCCUGCCCAGGAAGGAGCCACAGGAAGGCCACAGCAAGGCCAUGUAAGUGCGGCAGCUCCAAAGUGGGC
Oryctolagus cuniculus (rabbit) is the source of this 2176-nucleotide non-coding RNA. Lineage: Eukaryota; Metazoa; Chordata; Mammalia; Lagomorpha; Leporidae. The record is from RefSeq and is a predicted model, not a curated record.